This 1240-nucleotide ribosomal RNA is filed under the name Salmonella enterica subsp. enterica serovar Newport. RNAcentral's name for it is "partial 23S ribosomal RNA". It matches the Rfam family "Bacterial large subunit ribosomal RNA", at positions 112 to 1309 of the family's 2925-position model. Lineage: Bacteria; Pseudomonadati; Pseudomonadota; Gammaproteobacteria; Enterobacterales; Enterobacteriaceae. The record is from RNAcentral.
UUCCGAAUGGGGAAACCCAGUGUGACUCGUCACACUAUCAUUAACUGAAUCCAUAGGUUAAUGAGGCGAACCGGGGGAACUGAAACAUCUAAGUACCCCGAGGAAAAGAAAUCAACCGAGAUUCCCCCAGUAGCGGCGAGCGAACGGGGAGGAGCCCAGAGCCUGAAUCAGCAUGUGUGUUAGUGGAAGCGUCUGGAAAGGCGCGCGAUACAGGGUGACAGCCCCGUACACAAAAGCGCAUGUGCUGUGAGCUCGAUGAGUAGGGCGGGACACGUGGUAUCCUGUCUGAAUAUGGGGGGACCAUCCUCCAAGGCUAAAUACUCCUGACUGACCGAUAGUGAACCAGUACCGUGAGGGAAAGGCGAAAAGAACCCCGGCGAGGGGAGUGAAAAAGAACCUGAAACCGUGUACGUACAAGCAGUGGGAGCACAGGUUUACCUGUGUGACUGCGUACCUUUUGUAUAAUGGGUCAGCGACUUAUAUUCUGUAGCAAGGUUAACCGAAUAGGGGAGCCGGAGGGAAACCGAGUCUUAAUUGGGCGUUAAGUUGCAGGGUAUAGACCCGAAACCCGGUGAUCUAGCCAUGGGCAGGUUGAAGGUUGGGUAACACUAACUGGAGGACCGAACCGACUAAUGUUGAAAAAUUAGCGGAUGACCUGUGGCUGGGGGUGAAAGGCCAAUCAAACCGGGAGAUAGCUGGUUCUCCCCGAAAGCUAUUUAGGUAGCGCCUCGUGAAUUCAUCUCCGGGGGUAGAGCACUGUUUCGGCUAGGGGGCCAUCCCGGCUUACCAACCCGAUGCAAACUGCGAAUACCGGAGAAUGUUAUCACGGGAGACACACGGCGGGUGCUAACGUCCGUCGUGAAGAGGGAAACAACCCAGACCGCCAGCUAAGGUCCCAAAGUCAUGGUUAAGUGGGAAACGAUGUGGGAAGGCCCAGACAGCCAGGAUGUUGGCUUAGAAGCAGCCAUCAUUUAAAGAAAGCGUAAUAGCUCACUGGUCGAGUCGGCCUGCGCGGAAGAUGUAACGGGGCUAAACCAUGCACCGAAGCUGCGGCAGCGAACGUAUCACUUAAAGCGAUUCAGCGGGUUACGAUUGACGGAGCGAAGCGACGUCAAAGCGUAUACAAAGUCGAGUCGGUUUAAGGAUACGUUCGUUGGGUAGGGGAGCGUUCUGUAAGCCUGUGAAGGUGGCCUGUGAGGGUUGCUGGAGGUAUCAGAAGUGCGAAUGCUGACAUAAGUAA